AGUGAACGCUGGCGGUAGGCCUAAUACAUGCAAGUCGAACGGCAGCACAGUAAGAGCUUGCCCUUACGGGUGGCGAGUGGCGGGCGGGUGAGGAAUACAUCGGAAUCCUCUUUUUCGUGGGGGAUAACGUAGGGAAACUUAUGCUAAUACCGCAUACUAUCUACGGGUGAAAGCAAGGGAUCUUCGGACCUUUCGCGAUUGAAUGAGCCGGUGUCGGAUUAGCUAGUUGGCGGGGUAAGGGCCCACCAAGGCGACGAUCCGUAGCUGGUCUGAGAGGAUGAUCGGCCACACUGGAACUGAGACACGGUCCAGACUCCUACGGGAGGCAGCAGUAGGGAAUAUUGGACAAUGGGCGCAAGCCUGAUCCAGCCAUGCCGCGUGGGUGAAGAAGGCCUUCGGAUUGUAAAACCCUUUUGUUGGGGAAGAACAUCAGUAUGAUAAUCCCCCGCUGUUCUGACGGUACCCAAAGAGUAAGCACCGGCUAACUUCGUG
Molecule: ribosomal RNA, 492 nt
Filed under: uncultured bacterium
Lineage: Bacteria
Description: partial 16S ribosomal RNA
Rfam family: Bacterial small subunit ribosomal RNA
Source: RNAcentral